GACGAACGCUGGCGGCGUGCCUAAUACAUGCAAGUUGAGCGCUGAAGGUUGGUACUUGUACCGACUGGAUGAGCAGCGAACGGGUGAGUAACGCGUGGGGAAUCUGCCUUUGAGCGGGGGACAACAUUUGGAAACGAAUGCUAAUACCGCAUAAAAACUUUAAACACAAGUUUUAAGUUUGAAAGAUGCAAUUGCAUCACUCAAAGAUGAUCCCGCGUUGUAUUAGCUAGUUGGUGAGGUAAAGGCUCACUAAGGCGAUGAUACAUAGCCGACCUGAGAGGGUGAUCGGCCACAUUGGGACUGAGACACGGCCCAAACUCCUACGGGAGGCAGCAGUAGGGAAUCUUCGGCAAUGGACGAAAGUCUGACCGAGCAACGCCGCGUGAGUGAAGAAGGUUUUCGGAUCGUAAAACUCUGUUGGUAGAGAAGAACGUUGGUGAGAGUGGAAAGCUCAUCAAGUGACGGUAACUACCCAGAAAGGGACGGCUAACUACGUG
This 497-nucleotide ribosomal RNA is filed under the name uncultured bacterium. Its description in RNAcentral is "partial 16S ribosomal RNA". It matches the Rfam family "Bacterial small subunit ribosomal RNA", at positions 28 to 507 of the family's 1533-position model. The record is from RNAcentral.